Molecule: long non-coding RNA, 371 nt
Filed under: Brassica napus (rape)
Lineage: Eukaryota; Viridiplantae; Streptophyta; Magnoliopsida; Brassicales; Brassicaceae
Description: long non-coding RNA (BNAP_LNC015916)
Source: RNAcentral
AUAGUUGUUGCAACUCAUAUAUUAGUGGCUGAAGAAACACAUCAAGUGAUCUCUUAGGAUGCUCUGGUCCGGGAACGAGAAUCGAGAGAAACAAAAACUCUCGUCGCAAGCACAAGUUUGGGGGUAGGUUGUAUGGUGUAAGAAUGACGGGCCAUAGAGAAUACUGUCUUCCACUCUUGCCAAACGGACUGAAACCAUCAGUACAUAAUCCAAGGUAGACAUUUAUUCUCUCAUACGCAAAGUCGGGAUACUUUGAUUGGAAAUGCUUCCACGCUUUUGCAUCUGAAGGAUAUCUGAUCUCACCAUCUGUUGAGUGCUCCGCAUGCCAUCUCAUUGGUUGCGCUGUGCGUUCAGACAGAUACAACCUCUGC